RNAcentral lists this small RNA (114 nucleotides) under Candidatus Hoaglandella endobia. RNAcentral describes it as "Alpha_RBS". It matches the Rfam family "Alpha operon ribosome binding site". From Rfam's summary of the family: The bacterial alpha operon ribosome binding site is surrounded by this complex pseudoknotted structure. Translation of the mRNA produces 4 ribosomal protein products, one of which (S4) acts as a translational repressor by binding to the nested pseudoknot region. Lineage: Bacteria; Pseudomonadati; Pseudomonadota; Gammaproteobacteria; Enterobacterales; Enterobacteriaceae. The record is from RNAcentral.
UUUAAGCAUCUUUAUAAGCAUCUUUAAAAGGAAAAAAAUUAGAAUGUUGUUGUCGUUCAAACUUCUAGGAGUGCAUAGAUAGUGGCCCGUAUAACAGGCAUUAACAUUCCUGAU